GAUGAACGCUGACAGAAUGCUUAACACAUGCAAGUCUACUUGAACUUCGGUUUGGGUGGCGGCCGGGUGAGUAACGCGUACAGAACUUACCUCACAGUUAGGGACAACAUUUGGAAACGAAUGCUAAUACCUGAUAUUAUGAUUUUAGGGCAUCCUAGGAUUAUGAAAGCUAUAUGCGCUGUGAGAGAGCUUUGCGUCCCAUUAGCUAGUUGGAGAGGUAACGGCUCACGAAGGCGAUGAUGGGUAGCCGGCCUGAGAGGGUGAACGGCCACAAGGGGACUGGGACACGGCCCUUACUCAUUCGGGAGGCAGCAGUGGGGAAUAUUGGACAACGGACCAAGAGUCUGAUCAAGGAAUUCGGUGUGCACGAUGACGUUUUUCGGAAUGAAAAGCGCUUUCAGUUGGGAAGAAAAAAAUGACGGUACCAACAGAAGAAGUGACGGCUAAAUACGUG
RNAcentral lists this ribosomal RNA (454 nucleotides) under uncultured bacterium. Its description in RNAcentral is "partial 16S ribosomal RNA". It matches the Rfam family "Bacterial small subunit ribosomal RNA", at positions 28 to 507 of the family's 1533-position model. The record is from RNAcentral.